This 71-nucleotide transfer RNA is filed under the name Odontella aurita. Lineage: Eukaryota; Bacillariophyta; Thalassiosirophyceae; Eupodiscales; Odontellaceae. The record is from RNAcentral.
UUGUGGCCGAGUGGUCUAAGGCGCUGAUUUCAGGUGCCGGCAUUUGUUGGCGUGGAUUCAAAUCCCAUCAA